RNAcentral lists this ribosomal RNA (700 nucleotides) under uncultured archaeon. Its description in RNAcentral is "bacterial SSU rRNA". It matches the Rfam family "Archaeal small subunit ribosomal RNA", at positions 44 to 752 of the family's 1478-position model. The record is from RNAcentral.
UUAAGCCAUGCGAGUCGAGAGGUGUAAGACCUCGGCAUACUGCUCAGUAACACGUGGAUAACCUGCCCUAUGGUGGAGGAUAACCCCGGGAAACUGGGGAUAAUACUCCAUAGAUUAGAGAAACUGGAAUGUUCUUUAAUCGAAAGUUCCGGCGCCAUAGGAUGGAUCUGCGGCCGAUUAGGUAGUUGUUGGGGUAACGGCCCAACAAGCCUGUAAUCGGUACGGGUUGUGGGAGCAAGAGCCCGGAGAUGGAAUCUGAGACACGAUUCCAGGCCCUACGGGGCGCAGCAGGCGCGAAAACUUUACAAUGCAGGAAACUGUGAUAAGGGAACCCCGAGUGCCCGUAUACGCGGGCUGUCCAGGUGUCUAAAACGCAUCUGAAGAAAGGGCCGGGCAAGACCGGCGCCAGCCGCCGCGGUAAUACCGGCGGCUCGAGUGGUGACCACUUUUAUUGGGCUUAAAGCGUUCGUAGCUGGACUCUUAAGUCUCUUGGGAAAUCCCGCGGCUUAACCGUGGGGCGUUUAAGAGAUACUGAGAGUCUAGGAACCGGGAGAGGUAAGAGGUACUUCGGGGGUAGAAGUGAAAUUCUGUAAUCCUCGAGGGACCACCGAUGGCGAAGGCAUCUUACCAGAACGGCUUCGACAGUGAGGAACGAAAGCUGGGGGAGCGAACGGGAUUAGAUACCCCGGUAGUCCCAGCC